CGGUUGCUUAACCGUUCACUUAGCGACAGCCUCGACACACUCCUUAAUAGGUAGUAGCUGGCAACCCGCACGCCAGAUGCACGUGAUCAACACAUAUCUGGAUCGUCUGGAAACUGACCUCCAGUCUGUGCCCGCAAGGCACAGCCACGUCAGCAACCCACCACUACUUAAGCGGAGCCCACCUGAGACUCCGGAGAGACUAUACGAUGUACACUGUUACUGUAUGUAACAUCUAGACCUGUGUCUCGUCAAUACAAGCUGUUCUCCCAUACUUUGAGUUCGUCCAUUUACUCAUUGUAACUACCUGUUACAUUUGGUGAACGUGCCUGCGCGAAGCUGACAUCUUCAACAUCUUUCAGCCCGAACCUUCCACCAUGUCUUCCAGACCUUGCCAUACGAUACAACAAUAUCUUCAAGAUUAUCUACAUAUCAUCACACUCAUCACUACCAUCUACGAUACACUCAAACUUUAUCACCAAAAACAGUAAAAUUUUAAAACAUACCUUGAGUAUUCAAAAUUCAACAUGUUGACAGCUGUAUUUCAAGUCCUCAAAUCAACGCUCAACCACAAAACUGAUUUUGAAGUAAUUUUCAUAUGUACUGAAAAUUCACCAAAUGAUUCAAACUGGUUAUUGAAGACCAAAUCAUUCGAUCCACCAAUAUUUUAAAUAACAAAUCAAAUUUCUAAAAAUAUUCCAUCUUCGUAGUAUAUAAAUGUAGAUUCAACACCCCAACCCUUAACUAACCUUCUAAUGCAUCCUUUCCAUUUUUUCACACAAAUUUUUAUUUUAUACUUUACUACUGUCAUUGAAUUCUCUCAUUUUUCCGACCCAAUCGACCAUCUUGUUUGAACUAACAAAGAAAACGCCACAUAUUGCGUUCUAACUUACCAUUCCGUACGUCUUCCUGUAUGGACGAAACAAAUCAAGACAGACAAUUCCACACUUCAUCAAGAAGAAACAGCAGCAAAUUAAGAAUGUUAUAACUCAGCACAUUUAUUUCACAUUUUUCACCUGGAGAAUGUUUUUACCCUUCUACAACAGGCCUAUGUGUAAAUAUUAAAAUGCCGAUAAGUAUCGUUUCUCAAAGGAAGAAGUGGGAUUUUUAGGACAUAUCGUAUCCUAAGGAGGAAUCGAAGUUAUUUAAUCCGUAACCAACUACAGAAGAUAUUUACAAAUUCACCAACAAGACCCAUGGUUCCCAGCUUACAAAAAGCAAAGUACCAUGGACACGGGGAACUGAGGAGCAGACGUGCUACGAUGGCUACUGCCGUCACCUUAGGAAAACCAGGGCGCCCAUGAGGAAUCUGUUAUUGAUUCAUGAGGAAUCUGUUAUUGAUUCAUGAGAACAUUCUGUUGCGUAUGCCUCUAUAAACACAUGACCAAGUAAACUAGAACUGAGUGGACCCCUACUCAGCAACUAGAUAUAUUUUGCAAGGAAAUCUACAUGGACGGCAUGGCGCAAAGAAAGGAACUUGUCGACAGUGAGCAAGUCAGUAGUCCCGGUGAAACUACAUAAGAGAUACUUCUGUUUGUUGUCCAAGCAUGUACGCAUAUUGCAAACUGUUAAUUUAUGCUGAACAAACGCCAUAACAAACGUGCACAGCCCUACUGCCAUCCAUACCGAUUGACAAACAUUUUUUUGACGGUUGGAAAUAUUUAGCAGCAAGAGCCCCGUUUUAAAACGCCUACUUGAAAAUGGAUGUAUCUUGAUGGAUAUAGAGUAUGCGACACACUGUAUUCGCUAUUCAACAAAAAAAUGUAUCGGCCUAAUCUUCAAAACAAAAGUUCACUGGCAAAUAACACUGAACUAAGACGGUUUGACUGACAACAUGAUCGACUAUCGAGAUACACAUUUUUUCAAACUUCAGUAAUGACAGAAACGAGCUAAAUCAAGCCAUUUAAGCAAUUACAUGCCACCACCCACUAUAAGACCACCGGAUUAUAAUACUUCUGAUGUAUGUGUACAACUAACCCUAUUAUCACGAGACGGAAUGUGAUACUAUUAAUGGGGUAAACAACUAAAUUUCGUAGAGUCAACGUCCACAAAACUUUACAUUCCAGUACAAGAAUUUAACCUUUCUUUCUUCUCAAGGCUUUACGACCUUAGAACAAAAAAAUGAUGAAGGCCUCUUGUGAGGAUUGUUAGUGAUUGCCAACUAAACUUGUCCUCAUAAAACCAUGGUAUGAGACAAUUUAUUAGCAAAAACAAAAAAAAAUACGCGAUUGCACAAGCAAAACUGAACCACUAUUACAAUCGUUUACUGAAGAAUUACUCUUCGAGUAACACGACGCCGUGCUUCUUAAAGUCUACAUGUGCAGAUCGGAAAAUGAACUUGAGGUAAACGCUCAUAGUAAUUGAAAAUUUUCCGAUCCCAAAUUAUUGAUGUAUCAAAUUGACGAAGACUACGAAAUGUUGCAGUACACUGAAAUCUCCUCAACCAAAGGAACCUUAUUGUAAACCGAAUCUCACUAAUAGAUGCAAAAUUAACAAAGGAGUUAAACGAACGAUCCAUUCAAAAGAUAUAUCAGAAAGUGAAACUGGACUUGAAAAAACUUUCUAAAAUCCCCGAGGCUACAACAGUAAAGAAGCCUACGAAAAGGAAAUCGUCUGUUCAAAGAAUUCAAAAUACGGAUUCGUCUUUUUCAAAUAAGGGAGGAAUGAGAGUAGACUUCUCCGCUAUUAACAAAUUCACAUACUAACUUUGGGAGGAAUGUAACGGUUGCUUAACCGUUCACUUAGCGACAGCCUCGACACACUCCUUAAUAGGUAGUAGCUGGCAACCCGCACGCCAGAUGCACGUGAUCAACACAUAUCUGGAUCGUCUGGAAACUGACCUCCAGUCUGUGCCCGCAAGGCACAGCCACGUCAGCAACCCACCACUACUUAAGCGGAGCCCACCUGAGACUCCGGAGAGACUAUACGAUGUACACUGUUACUGUAUGUAACAUCUAGACCUGUGUCUCGUCAAUACAAGCUGUUCUCCCAUA
Molecule: long non-coding RNA, 2990 nt
Filed under: Daphnia pulicaria
Lineage: Eukaryota; Metazoa; Arthropoda; Branchiopoda; Diplostraca; Daphniidae
Description: uncharacterized LOC124328581
Source: RNAcentral